Molecule: ribosomal RNA, 255 nt
Filed under: uncultured bacterium
Lineage: Bacteria
Description: partial 16S ribosomal RNA
Rfam family: Bacterial small subunit ribosomal RNA
Source: RNAcentral
GACAGAGGUGCCGAGCGUUAGGCGGAAUCACUGGGCUUAAAGCGUGUGUAGGCGGAUCGUUAAGUACCUUGUGAAAUCCCACGGCUCAACCGUGGAACGGCUGGGUAUACUGGCGGUCUUGGGCCAUUCAGGGGCGACUGGAACAAGCGGUGGAGCGGUGAAAUGCGUAGAUAUCGCUUGGAACGCCGAAGGUGAAAACAGGUCGCUGGGGGAUGUGCCGACGCUGAGACACGAAAGCCAGGGGAGCAAACGGGG